This 1098-nucleotide long non-coding RNA is filed under the name Callithrix jacchus (white-tufted-ear marmoset). Its description in RNAcentral is "lncRNA (ENSCJAG00000063681.2)". The record is from RNAcentral. Lineage: Eukaryota; Metazoa; Chordata; Mammalia; Primates; Cebidae.
GCCUAUAUUUAUUAUGUACAACCUCAUAUGUUCUUUUAUUUUGAUUGUUUUGAAGUAUAAAGCUUGCUGGUGGCAGUUUACCACAGUGUGACUACUGGGAGCAGUGAAAUCAGCUGGAGAGAAGCCAUGUGUCUACAUUUUUCUCAGUAAAAUUGCUUUUCAGAAGCUGAAGAACACCAGCACCACCUGGGAGGAACAGAAUAGAACACCUGAGAGACACCACUGCAGAAAUAUUUAUGUGGAUUUGGGGCGAGGUGGAAGGCUGUGCUUCAGCAAUCAGGUAAAAGUUAGGACAAUUAGCGUUAUUACUGUUAAUAUGAACUCUUAUUUUUUACCAACAGACUAGUGAGGGCUGGAUAAAUUUGGGUUAUAUAGUAAUGAAGGCACAUAUCUCAUGUGCCCUGGUGGACUGUAAACUUGAAGGGAAAAGUCUAUGCCAAUAUUCUCUAAAGCACACAGUGUAACACAUUUGUUGACUUGUCUAUAUAAAAUGAUUAGAAAUAACUUCGAAUGCUGAGAUGUGACAUUGCAGAUGCUUUGUCAGUGUUCAUAUAUAUCCCAUAACAACUUUGAAACAGAAGGGAAGAAGAAAAGAAAACCAACUUAUAUUUAUGGAAUAAGUAGCCUUACAGGCUGAUUCAAUUUCUAUCAAAAAUAAUAAUAAUAAUAAUAAUAAAAGAUUCUGGUUAUACAAGAAAUUCAACAUAAAUGGUUACGGAAUAUGCUUGUUUCACAUCUUAAACAGCAUUUUCCAGUACAAUGCGACAAAGGUGUGAACAUGAAGUAAAUAAUCGUUGAGGAGUUUUCAUUUAAAUUUCUGCAUACCAGAGAAAAAUGGUCUAUUUCCUUAUGAAUUUCAUCCCAAGAGGCUUGAUACAGAGUGACCAAGGUAAGAUGGAGCAAAGGGAUUGGAGUAAAUUAAUAAGGAAACCAAAUAAAUAUGAAUGAGAAAAAAGAAAAUGCAUAAGGCUAUGACACUUGAAUUAGAAAUUUGAGGAAAUAGAAAAGAGGGAUAAUCUAAGAAUAGCAAAAAAUGGAGCAAGUAGAGACUUUCCGUGUAGUACUUAAAUUCUACUUUUUCUAUGGGCCUCCUUUGAC